AUCCUCAAGUAUUCCAUGUGGUUCCUUAAUUGAUCUAUCGGCUAAUUGCAGUGUGACUGAUGUGGGUUUCAGUUCUCCGAAUCCAAAAAGUUCAUACACUGAACUAGAUAAAACAUUCACUCUUGCCCUAAGUCCAGAAGAGCUUUUUCAAUGUGAUAAUCUCCUAUAACACAGGAAAUGAUGGAGGCUCCUGGGUCCUUAAGCUUUGGAGGAGUGGCAUGUUGGAAGACAG
RNAcentral lists this long non-coding RNA (232 nucleotides) under Elaeis guineensis (African oil palm). Its description in RNAcentral is "long non-coding RNA (EGUI_LNC029614)". The record is from RNAcentral. Lineage: Eukaryota; Viridiplantae; Streptophyta; Magnoliopsida; Arecales; Arecaceae.